This is a long non-coding RNA of Chelonoidis abingdonii (Abingdon island giant tortoise), 1375 nucleotides long. RefSeq lists it as uncharacterized. The record is from RefSeq and is a predicted model, not a curated record. NCBI's taxonomy places the organism in Eukaryota, Metazoa, Chordata, Testudines, Testudinidae.
UGGGGUUCAGCUUCCUGGGUCAGACGCUGAAGCCUCCAUUGUGAUCUGGGAGACCAGGCUUAGCAGCUACUGCUCCCCCAGUGGUGUUCUGUGCUGGAAAGUGACCUUAAUUAAAGCUUCUUCUCUGCCCGGCCCAGGGGAUGAUUUUCUUCAGCUCAUACUAGCCCGCUAGGGCAGCCCUGGGCCCUGUUAAUACUAAAUUCUGAGCCAGACAUUCCAGGUAACUGAAAGAAACGAAGGGAAAAUGCUGGGGUCUGGCCUUAAAAUGACUCUACACAAACCGACUCCCCUCAUUUCUUGUCCCAUUAGCAAUUGCAGGAGCAAAUCCAGCCAUGGGGGAGCAAACUUCCUGGGAGUGGGACUUUCCUACCAGACGGGCAGGGAGAAGGGACAGGGAAAAGGAGAUAGAAGGAGAAAGAGAGACUGAAAGGGGCACUGGGAGAGAAGAGUUUGGAGAGAGAUUUCCAGAUCUCUAAUCUGCCCAGAAAGAUGUAUUACUGUACCCUGGAUAGAGUCACUUUCCUGUAGAAAAGAUGAGAAUCAGACAGAGGAAAAUCCAGUUCCUGACUCCAUAUUCCCCCUGCUGGAGUGUGGCUGCCAUGGGGUCAGUGUCUCAGGGAAUCCCCCACAGUGAAUCCUUUGGUUCUGCUUUUUUCUAGCCUUAUGUUCAGAGACUUUGUUAUGGGAUGGGGGGAGGGAGAAGGGAGGUUAAAAAUGUCUCUGUGGGCUUAGCCUGGCAGGAGGGGCCAGGUCUACACUGUAUAAAGAGAUCAAGCCUUUUCUCAGCAUGGCAGACUCUAGGGUGUGUGUCUGUGGGGAAAGGACCUGGGGGAAUCAUGCUGUGAAAUGAAUUAAAGCGUGUUCUGAAACCUUCACAACUGCCCUUCUCACCCUGCCAGGCUGUGGAAUAAUGUCCAUGUUUCACUCCAGUUUAUCCCGUCCUCUCAUUGGCCAGGGGAGAGAAAUGGCUGCAGAGGAGCCAGUUCAGGGGCUGUGACCUUCGAGGAGAUGGCUGUGUAUUUCACCAGAGAAGAGUGGGCUCUGCUGGACCCUACAGGGGUGUCAUGCAGGAGAGGUAGAAGAGCGAGAACUGAGUUUUUCUCCGACAAUUUGGGGGCUCGUCCGGGAUGGCAACGCCCACUGAGACACAGACAGCUGCUACAGAUCGUUCCCCUUCGAACCCCAUGGCUCCACAAGAGAGGUAUGAGACCUUUUGAAAUCUCUAUUGGGGUAUCGGAGGAGGACUGUCCGUGGGGCCUUCUGUCCCUGUUGGGCUCACGCCAUCUGAACUUAUUGACUGUGCAGCAAGAUCAGAUGCAGAGUGGUAUUGGGAAAAGGUACCAACAAGGUUAGUUUAUAGCAGUACUGGGGAACU